CCUCUCACCUCACUUUCUCUAGAAAGCGUGCUUGCUUCCUCCCUCUCCCUCACUGCUCCUCCCGUUUCCAGCAUCGCCUAAUCAACUUCGACGCAUGGCCUUUGGGGCACCUCUCUCUCUCUGCGUGCAUUUCUAUCUGUGUAUAUUGUGCAUGGGCGCCUCUCUCGUCCUCUAGACGGCUUCGUCCGCUUCUCACCCUACUCCAAGUAUCCUUGUGCAAGUGGCCCUCGUCCUCUCUUUCCAUCACCAACCCCUCUUGCUCUCCUCUCUACCCCUCGCCCAUCCCCCUCCCUCCGCUGUCCAGUCCGCUCUCUGCGCGGAACGCUUCACUCUGAGAGUGUUGCCACGCGAGAGUGCGCUCCCUAGCGCCAAAGUAUUUUCAUAGUUUCACCGCUUCUUCAUUUGUGUGCCGUCGCCUCGCAUCCUCCCUCCUCCCCCCUUCCCCCUUCUUUUUUUUUGGUCCCUCGUGCCUCACCGCUUGAGCUCGCUGUCGUGGGUGGCGGUGCACCUGCGCUACCAGCAAGUCCGUGGCCAAAAGCCGAAGGCGGCAGAAGAAGCAGAAGAAGCACGAGGCGGGGGGGGGUGAGGAAGCGCCUCCUCAGAAAGCAUACUGCUGCUGCUGCUUUGUUUGCGUUUUCUUUUGUUACUCCUCAGGCCAAGUCAUCACCCCCUCCCCUUCCCAUCUCUUCCUCCCUUCCCCCUCUUCCUCUCCGCAGCGUCGCGCUUAGUCGCGGCACUCAUCCACUAGUCCUUCUCUGCGUGUAUCUUCUCAAGGGCGUUCAUCCGCACCGGCAACUUCCUGCGUCUAUUCCCUCCCCUCGCCUCCCUUCUUGCGCCCCCAUUCGCUGUGCUCCUGCGAAGCGUCGUCGUCGCCGCCGUCCUGCCGCCUUCUUCACCUUCGCCUGUUUUUCCUUCGCUUUGUAUCCCUCGCUCUCCCUCUCGUUGCCCCGCCCCCCCCCUGCCCCUUCGCCUCCCCUUAUACGCGCACAUACGCCAGAGAUGGGCGCAGGUGGCGUCUCACCGCAGUCCCGCGGAGUGGCGUUGUCACUCACGACAGGCGGCAGCUCGAGGGCGGCUGCCACCACUGCGAGAGCGAAUCCACGUCGCCGAGCGAGCGCACCUAGGGCUGCAGGCACUAGCGGCGCCGCAGCAGCAGCUGGAACCAAACCCGGGGCUGCCAUCUCGUACAUGAAAGGCGACACGCUCCGUGUCAUUGCUCGCCUUCUUAAGCCAGGUGAGACGCUGUCACAGGAAGUGGGGCGAGUGAUGGAAGGUGCGCUGAUCACUGGGCACAGCAUCCCCCCUCCGCCGCCGGAGACGAAGAAAGAGGGGACGGUGUUCGGGUGGUUCGUCGAGGACCUAGAGCGGCCAGGCACGUGGGAGCCGUACGCGAAGGAGUCGGCAGACCGUCUGGAGGACGCCUUCUUGAACAUGCGCGGCACGUGCACGGUCGUCAUGAAGAAGCGCAGCUACACCGUGGACCUUCAUACAAUGCAGCAGCUGCCGGCGGCGUCGGCUGGAGCCGCCAGCACGUACCCCGCGCAGCAGCAGCAGCGCACCCGGGAGGUGAAGCGGGUGCCGGUAGUCACCUAUACUGACCCCAACACCGGUGAGGUGAAGGUGCAAGAGGCGCUGCUGAAAAUGGUGGACCCUUUCAUGGAUGAAGAGGAAGACAACGACAAUGGACAGCCGCAGCAGAUCGCCGAGGGUGCUGGCGACGUCAUCGGUGCUGGUGCUGAUGGUGCUGCCGUAGCCGCCGAGCUCGAAGCUGGUCAUCUGCCACAUCUCAUUCGGACAGUUGUGCCGCACAGCUCGCCCAUCUACACGAUGGAAUGCACUCCGGACGUGCAGCAACUUUGCCCGGAAGCACGUGCCGUCGUCGAUCCUGCUGGGGGUGCGCUGGUGCUCUCUAGCGGGCGUGACCGGCAGCUGCUGGAGUGGAGCAUUGAAACCAGCACUGUCAUCACGCGCUACGAGGUGCCUGGAACCACGUCCAAGAACUCGGUGUUGACGGCGAAUUACUCUUGCACGGCCAAGUGGAUGGUGGCUGGGCUGGACGACUGCACCGCGCGCCUGUACGCCAUCGGCAAUCCGAGCGAGGUCUAUCGCCUGGAGGGGCAUACGCACAAGGUGUACGGCGCUGGGGUGCUGGUCGGCGACGCGCAGGCCGCGACGGCGAGCAUGGACUGCCAUGUGAAGUUGUGGGACAUCGCGACGGGGGUCUGCGUGCGCAGCACGGUGCCCCACAAGUCCCACAUCUUUGCUCUUAGGCCUCACCCAACGGACCCCAACGUUGCCCUGACCGCUGGCGAGGACUGCAAAGUCUGCUUGCACGACUUCCGCCGAGGAAACUCCGUCGCGGCGGUGUUCACGGGGCCCGAUCGCACCAUCUGGGACGUGGACUGGAAUCCUGCUAACAUAACCUUCGCGGCGUGCGGCAUGGACUGCACCACGCGCAUCUUUGACCCUCGCGUCAGCACCACGGCCGUUAAGAUGUUGCGCAGCCACAGCCGCGCGGUGCACAGCAUCAAGUACACGCCGCAGGGGCGAGGGGUGCUGUCGUGCAGCAAGGACUCCUUUGUGAGCCUGGCGGACACCACCAACUGGAGCGUGCAGUGGCAGGCCAAGGCGCACACAACGACUGUCUUUCGUGUGCGCUAUCACGCUGGCAAGUCUGUCAUGGUGACGGCUGGGUCGGACUCCAGCGUGAAUGUGUGGAGCUGGGGGGAGCUGACCCAGCUCUGAGCGCAACGGAGAAAUCACGAGGAACGAAUAGUGAGAAGCGUCUCAGAAAACGACUACGAUAUCACAUGUAUGCUCAGUGUACACGUCGCCUGCGUUUUUUGAAAAUGGUGCCCCUGCUCGUCUGCCUGUACAUAUGUAGGUAUAUGUAUACAUACAUAUAUAUAUGUAUACGUGUGUGUGUGUGUGUGUAUGUGUUUAUGUGUACACGUUUAGAUAUUGUUCUUGCCGGCUGGCGCCUUUGAUUAGGUGCAAGCGGCUCGACGGCAAAGCGUGGAGAGACGAAUCGGUAUGCACGCACGCCGCGCGAACACCCGGACACACCUGCUCUUCUCUUGAUGUUGCCUCCUCCUGUGUGUGCGUCCGUGCGUGCGUGUGUGCACAUGCCAUUGAAUGAUGCGGCGUUCGUCGAAGAGCGGAUGGCAAGAAGACGAAGCAGAGAGAAGAUCAACAGACUUCUCUUUUUUCUUUGUGUGUUUGUGUGUGAACCCCUGCUCAUUAGACCCCCACCCCCAUCCCCGACCCCGACACCUCCGUUUCACCCCAGCAGAGGCUCGAACUGCAUUCUUCUCCUUCUCUCUUUGUAUACUCCUUCUCUCCUUCACUUUGUGUCUACCUCUCCUCCACUGCGAAGUCACAUAUCUCGUCAUGGUGAGGAAUUCUGCUCCCCUCGCCUGUCCUCUCGCCCUCCUCGUGUGGAAGACAAGGCACGCUGCAACGCGGAACCCCACAGCGCUUCGCAUCAGCGCGUGUGUAUGGUGCGCCGCUCCGCUCACUUUUCACACAGAGACACCUCUCUGUGAGUCCGCCAACCACCUGACCGCUUUUUCUUUUUUGUUCUGCUCUGUUUGUGUUGCUGCGCUGUUUUCUUCCCCCC
Molecule: unclassified non-coding RNA, 3619 nt
Filed under: Leishmania donovani
Lineage: Eukaryota; Euglenozoa; Kinetoplastea; Trypanosomatida; Trypanosomatidae
Description: gene:LdHU3.26.1690(CDS-product:WWE_domain/WD_doma in_G-beta_repeat_putative)
Source: RNAcentral